AACAGAUAAUGCUCAUCUUCAGUGGCUGCCAAGAUCAGUGCCCUGAGCUGGGAGAAACCACAGAAGUCGCCCUUCCUGCCCACGCCUCUAGGGGUCAGCGAGAGAAGCCAGACUUGGGAGCAGGUCAGCUGGGCUUGGCUGAUGUCCGGGUCACUCCUCCUGUCAGCAGCGUGGGCAGAGAUUGUAGUUGUGAUAGAUGGAACACCAGCAGCCAUCUCAAACUAAGACGUGGCCUCUAGGAUGGAGGAGCGGAAACAAAGAAGGAGCCUGGGUCCUGAUGACUUGAUAGGAAGACCUUCCCAGCCCGCUGAUGGCUACCUCUGGACUUUGUGUGUGAGAUACAAAUGCUGGUGGCUUUGAGUCACUAGAUCAUGGGGGAUCUGAUGCUUGCUUGAGUGCUAUGCUAUGUAAAUUAAGUUGAUUGAGUGAUUGAUUACAGUGAGGAAACAGCACAUCUGAUGACCCUGACUCCUGCCCAUCCAUCUUCCUGGAGUAAGGUCACCAGAAGAUGGAAUUGGCAGAGUCACACGCUGAGGGGGUGUCUGGCUCUGGCCAGAGAGGAGCCUACGGUGCUCACUCUGCGCACCGCAGGACCCACCUCUCUCCUCGGCCACUAGGACGCUCAUGCAGCCAGCCUCAGUGAUCCUCCUCCUCCCUACAUGCUGCACGGAGCAUUCAGGGCAGAGCACGGUCCAAGGUCUAUGAUGGGGGAGGGGGAUGCACCUCCCUUCUGGUCCCUUCUGGAACCUUCUGGAACCCUCUGGAACUUCCAACCACUCAGCACAGUCCUGGUGGACAGGGUGGCUUGGUUCCGCUCCCUCCAGCGCCUUCUCCGGGCCAGCACAGGAUGCAGCAGGCAGCCUCUCGGGCACACUGGGAGAGUCAUGAAGUUCCCUCCUGACAGCCAAGAUGUCAGUGCCACCAGCCACUGCGCCACCUGCUCAGAGGGCUUUGUCCAUGUUUGUGUGCGCAGUGGUGGCCUCUGUCCCCAGUGCCACAUCCGGGGAACCACUCAGCAGCUUCUCCGAGCCCACUGCUGAGCCUCAUGUGGCUGUCCUCUGGCCCAUCCCUCUGAGCACAGCCAUGCCCCUCCUCCUGAUAGGGACAGAUGGAUUGGUGUCCCCACAUUUUGCCUCCACUGCCCAGCCCCUGGGCUCCCCAGUGUCCUGCGCUUCUUGUUGAGGGUCCCCAGUCAGCUCCCCAAGCAGAACAGAUCCAAACUCGGCUCCUUUGUGUCACCCCAGCCUCUGUGGUGUCAGCGGAUGGCGCCCCCACUUCCAAGGUGCUCAGCCCUAAAGCCUGGGGCUUGUUGCCUGGCCAGCUCUGCUGCCUACGGUCCUCCACCAGGAAAUCCUGUCAGCCUUGCCUUCAAGGGAUAACAGACCUCCACAACUUUUUACCAGGUGGCUGUUUCUAGCCUGGGCAGAGCCACCUCUCCCUCUCUUCAGCCUCCCUGGCGUCUCAGCUAUUCCUUAAAUCCCACAAACACGUCCUGCCUCGGGGCCUUCAUCCUGCUGCACCCUCUGCCCUAAUGCUCUUCCUUCAGGUAGCUACAUGGCUCACUCCUUCCUUCUCUGUUCAGUUUCCCAGCACCCAUGUCAACCCUCUGCAUCUGCUAUGGUUAGGGUGUGUUUGUCCCCAAAGGAGCAGGUGCCAGACUGUUUGUCCCAGUGUCUCAGUGUCCAGGUGCUGAACUUUAAGGGGUGG
Long non-coding RNA from Heterocephalus glaber (naked mole-rat), 1707 nucleotides. The record is from Ensembl. Lineage: Eukaryota; Metazoa; Chordata; Mammalia; Rodentia; Bathyergidae.